Long non-coding RNA from Lutra lutra (Eurasian river otter), 429 nucleotides. RefSeq lists it as uncharacterized. Lineage: Eukaryota; Metazoa; Chordata; Mammalia; Carnivora; Mustelidae. The record is from RefSeq and is a predicted model, not a curated record. The transcript has 3 exons.
GCUCCUGGAACAUUCUCUCGUUGGAAACAGCUGCCACCCAGCCUUUGUGGCUCUGUUGUGAUGGAAGAGGAUUGCCUUAUGAUAGUGGGAACUGUUUAUCUCCAUAUCAUGGGUUAUCUCUUGGGCCAUCUAGUUGGAGAGGCUCCAAAUUGUUGCCUGAGUCUGUCUUGACUUUCCCUUUGGGGACUUGGAGGGAACACACGGAAGCCAGCAACAUCUGUGACACCCUUCAGAUCCGGGGCUUCCUGGUGGGAAAAGCAGCAAUACUGUACCUACCAGUAUCACCCAGAGCACCACAGGGAGAUUUGGGGUGUGUCUCCAGCUACCAGAAAUUGCCAGCAGUGCACCCCACAGCUGCUCCAGGACCAGCUGGUAAGUGGAUAAGGCGGCCAACAGUGGGCCCUCCAUGGCAACAUAGGGCUUCACAGC